Molecule: ribosomal RNA, 443 nt
Filed under: uncultured bacterium
Lineage: Bacteria
Description: partial 16S ribosomal RNA
Rfam family: Bacterial small subunit ribosomal RNA
Source: RNAcentral
CCUACGGGUGGCAGCAGUGGGGAAUAUUGGGCAAUGGAGGCAACUCUGACCCAGCAACGCCGCGUGAGCGAUGAAGGUCUUCGGAUUGGAAAGCUCUUUAAGCGGGGACGAAGAAAGUGACUGUACCCGCAGAAUAAGCCUCGGCUAACUACGGGCCAGCAGCUGCGGUCAUACGUAGGGGGCAAGCGUUAUCCGGAAUGACUGGGCGUAAAGGGUGCGUAGGGGGUUGGGCAAGUUCGUAGCGUAAUACCGGGGCUCAACCUCGGUGCUACUACCAAAACUGUUGAACUUGAGUGGAGGAGAAGUGAAUGGAAUGCCUAGUGUAGCGGUGGAAUGCGUAGAUAUUGGGAAGAACACCAGCGGCGAAGGUGAUUCACUGGACUGUAACUGACACUGAGGCACGAAAGCGUGGGGAGCGAACAGGAUUAGAUACCCUUGUAGUC